Physella acuta is the source of this 569-nucleotide long non-coding RNA. RefSeq lists it as uncharacterized. NCBI's taxonomy places the organism in Eukaryota, Metazoa, Mollusca, Gastropoda, Physidae. The record is from RefSeq and is a predicted model, not a curated record.
AGGGACCAACGAUAAGAGCAUGCCUGUUUUUAACAACUUUGUUUAUGUUGAGAGAAGUAUUUCUCUGUACUUCUCAGUCGCAUUUCAAGACAUUUGUGACACCAUUGGAGUAGAUAACAGGGAUGUCUUGGGAGAUGACAAAAUUAAUAGCCGGGGAUCGGAAGAAAUGAAAGGAAAUGGUGGAGGCCCUAUGUUCCAUAAGGAGCAAAGAGGACUAAGUCAAGUCAAGGAGUAGAUAACUCCUAUCAACAGCCUCAAACGACCAACACAGAUUUUAGUGGCGGCUCCAAUUAGACGCAAAACAUGGCCUCCCACACGACCCCACACAUCUUGAAGACGAUCGAACCAGACCUCCCACACACCUCCCGCACACGAUAUCAUCCACCCAAUGAGCACAAAGAAGCUGCCGGAACUAGAUGCCCCCUGCAAAUACCCAGUAUGAACAUCAAGAGAUGAGGUUCAGGACGACAAAAAACAUCCCAUAACCCUAUUAACCACAAUCUACAUGACACCCUAACAUAUCUUGCCAGAGACGCGCAUCAAACUGCUGUAUUCAAAGCGCCUGGCCG